UACGUAGGCAGCAAGCGUUGUUCGGAAUUACUGGGCGUAAAGAGUGUGUAGGCGGUGCUCUAAGUCUGUUGUGAAAUCUCCCGGCUUAACUGGGAGGGUGCGCGGAAACUGGAGUGCUCGAGGGUGGAGAGGUAAGCGGAAUUCCUGGUGUAGCGGUGAAAUGCGUAGAUAUCAGGAGGAACACCUGUGGUGUAGACAGCUUACUGGACCACUUCUGACGCUGAGACACGAAAGCGUGGGUAGCAAACAGG
Molecule: ribosomal RNA, 251 nt
Filed under: uncultured bacterium
Lineage: Bacteria
Description: partial 16S ribosomal RNA
Rfam family: Bacterial small subunit ribosomal RNA
Source: RNAcentral